Molecule: non-coding RNA, 45 nt
Filed under: Schistosoma mansoni
Lineage: Eukaryota; Metazoa; Platyhelminthes; Trematoda; Strigeidida; Schistosomatidae
Source: RNAcentral
AUCCAGCUGACGAAUCCCGAACAGGACGAAACGCGCGUCCUGGAU